UACAGAGGGGGCAAGCGUUGUUCGGAAUUACUGGGCGUAAAGGGCGCGUAGGCGGCCUGCUAAGUCGAACGUGAAAUCCCCGGGCUCAACCCGGGAACUGCGUCCGAUACUGGAUGGCUUGAGGUUGGGAGAGGGAUGCGGAAUUCCAGGUGUAGCGGUGAAAUGCGUAGAUAUCUGGAGGAACACCGGUGGCGAAGGCGGCAUCCUGGACCAAUUCUGACGCUGAGGAGCGAAAGCCAGGGGAGCAAACGGG
RNAcentral lists this ribosomal RNA (253 nucleotides) under uncultured bacterium. RNAcentral describes it as "partial 16S ribosomal RNA". It matches the Rfam family "Bacterial small subunit ribosomal RNA", at positions 524 to 776 of the family's 1533-position model. The record is from RNAcentral.